AGCUAUAUUGCUAUGUUUUCUCCAGGUUAUUUUGAAUGGACAGCUUUGUCGCUGAUAAGCUAACUGAGUGGCGGCUAUCUGAGCUGAUAGAGAAUUUUAGAGGCCAUCCACAAACAUAAAAGAGGCCCUGGCGCUAUCAUUGGUUCAGACAUUCCCUGAAUGAUGACAUUGGCUAUAUUUCCAGAGACUCCAGAAUCAAAACCAAGCUCUGAGGGAGGAGAACCACGCCCUGAGGGAAAGCAAUGCACAAGCAGCUUUGGAUGACAGCGGCUCACUUCAAGAGCAGGUGAAGCAAGUUGGGACAAUGUUGAAGACGUUUGCUUGGACUUGGCAAUCAGGUGCAGAUCAGACCCUAAUGCUGCGACGUCUUGGAGAGUUUGGCGAUGUUGUGCGUAGCAUGGACAACAAAAUGGAAACUAUGCAGCAACAUUUCAGUGCCAAUGUGUCUGUUGGAGAGCCACUGAUGAGGCGGUCCAGGUUAACGUUACGCAUUACCUGAAAGGAGCAUCUGACCGUGAAGGCGGAAAAAAGGCGCCGCACAGCUGAGACCCCUUAAACCUAGGCUGACUACUGACACCCCCGCAUCACUGACAACUGGAACACUUUCUUUAUCCUGCAGUCAGUAACAUCAAGAAGCCAGAAGUGCCAGACUACACUCACCCAAUCCACACUAUUCACUGUGGAAAUUAUUAUUUUUUCUUCUCCUUCUUCUUUUUUUCCCUAGGGUCAUUCCCCAUGACCCUGCCUUGAGGGCAGCGCCUUGGAUGGAUAUGGGAUGGUGAGGUUUUUUGUCCUUUAUACAGGCGCACGAGGGAUCACUGAAGACAUGCCCAUUUUGCGCUGCCUCAUUCUGGAGAUCCCGUAGUCAGGCUUGAAAGACUGAUUAUCAUUACUUAGACUGUCCUGCAAUUCUUAGCCCACCCCACGCAGACCCCAACCACUCCACACAUUCUGAUUGGCUGUGUUCUCUACAGCCAGAUUUCCUGCUGUUAUUGUUUGUUCCCACUUGUUGUCAUGUGUAAAUUUAAUGUCAAAAUGUAUAUUACCUGGUAUAUCCUGCACAGUCUUUUGAUACCAAAGAUCUCAAUUACUUCCUAUACAAUUUGCUGUUGCAGUGCUUAUUCUAUUUAUAAAUAUAGCUUGUAAAUCCUAGAUUAUACCUCUAAUACUUGAUAUCUGCACAUUAUCUGUUCUGGUACCAAAUAUUCUACUUAACGUGACUUUAGUAUUGGCUUAUUUCAUUCCGUCAGUGCUUAACAAUGGUAUUAUAGUUUGUAAAUCCUAUUUCAUACCUGUUACUUGAUAUUGCACAUUAACUAGUACCAAAAUUCUACUUUCAUUCCA
This is a long non-coding RNA of Perca fluviatilis (European perch), 1344 nucleotides long. RefSeq lists it as uncharacterized. The transcript has 5 exons. The record is from RefSeq and is a predicted model, not a curated record. Lineage: Eukaryota; Metazoa; Chordata; Actinopteri; Perciformes; Percidae.